Long non-coding RNA from Mustela lutreola (European mink), 4360 nucleotides. RefSeq lists it as uncharacterized. The transcript has 2 exons. The record is from RefSeq and is a predicted model, not a curated record. Lineage: Eukaryota; Metazoa; Chordata; Mammalia; Carnivora; Mustelidae.
GCAGCAGGAGCAGGCGCCCGCCUCCGGGCACCUUUGCCCACCUGCGCAGUAAGCCUGAACCAGGGCGAGGGAAGUCCCGGAGACGUUUGCGCAGGCGCCCUCGAGAGAGCGCGAUUGAGCACGAGCAGUGUGAGGGGCUGAACAGACCCUAAUAAUCCGUUUUAAUACUACCUGCAGGAAAAAUGUGAGAACCACUGCUCUAGAAGGUAAGCACAGUACUGGUUUCUGGACUAGAAACAACACACCUGUUGUUGGACAGAUUGAAGACACACCCAAUAUAAUCCUGGUGGUUUCUGUGGCCCAGAGAAGUGUCUAAAGGGGUUGGGUGCGGGCUGCAGGCCUGUGCAGAAUGUGGGCUUGGACACUGAGCAGGCCAUGGCUCUGGAGUACAGUUUACAUUCUGGAGGCUCUUCCCUACAGAACCAAAUGGCAUAAAAAGAAUUUUAAUCUUUUAUUUGUUUAUUUUUUAACAUUUUCUUUAUUUGCGAGGGGAGAGGGUCAGAGGGAGAAGCAGACUCCCCUCUGAGCAUGGAGCCUGAUGUGGGCCUGGAUCCCUGGGACUACAGGAUCAUGACCCCAGUGGAAGGCAGUUGCUCAAUCAAUGGAGCCACCCAGAUGCCGCAGAGUUUUAAUCUCUUAACUCUUCUAAUCUUUAGUUUUUCAACUCUCAUUCCUGAAAUCACACUUCUCAAAUUAUUUUUGAGAAUAAUAUAUCCCAAAUUAUUUCUGAUCUCAGGAUCUUUGCAUAAAUUGCUCCCCUUAUGGGGAAUACCUUCUCCCCCUGCCAGCCUCUUUUUUUUUCCUCUUCCCCUCAUUUUUCCUUGAAUUGCUCCUAUUAAUUCCCCCAUGUCUGAAUAUAAGGUAGGGAUAUUCUCCUUAAAGAUCCUACCUUAGGGGGCCUUUUCUAACACCUCUUUUCAUCCCCAUCCAAAUAGUCUCCGUUAUUCUAUCUCAACAUACCCUCUCCUUUUCCUUCAUUUUACAUUGUCUCAAGUUAAAAUUACAGAUUUGGGUGUUAAUUUUUCUAAUGACCCUUUCCCCGCUGUAUCCUAAGACUUACAAAGGGUAUGUCUGUCUCUUUACUCUUGUACCCCAGCAGCACCUACUGUAAUAAUUAGCACAUAGUAGGUUCUCAACAAGAAGUAGUUGAGUGAAUGUAGUCACCUCAACCCUUCUGUCAAAUCCAGGACACUUGUUCAGAACUCUGUGUGAUGACCGUGUGGACAGCAGAAGGAGAGGGCCUGGCCUCACUCACCCCUUGGCUGGUGCUAUGCCAAGGCAGGGUGUAGCAUCUAAUGGAGAGGACUAUGGCCAUUGGCACAUAAAACGUGUGAAACAACCUUCACUUUUUUCCCCAAAUAUACUAGAAGGAGGGUGACUUUUUUUAGGAAAGAGUAAAACUACUACUUGAGAUAUCUGGAUCUUUAUUUAUGCCCUGUUCCUUCCUCUUUUUCUCUCUGUCUCUACACCAUGCUUGUACACACACACACAUACAGACACACACACACACACAUUCAUUCACCAUGAUAACUGAUAGACAACUGAUAUUUUCCCCAGUACUAUUUCAAUAGGAUGUUGGCUCUGUUUUAAUUCUUGGCUAAGAAGAUUACCAGACCAUGUGACAUGGACCAAAAAAUCAUUUAUUUACUCAUUUACCAUUUAUUCAAUAACUAUUUUUUAAGCAUGAAAUCUUUCCCUUUGCAAGACACAGAUGGAGCUAGAGAGUAUAAUGGUUAGUGAAAUAAGUUAGAGAAAGACAAAUACAAUCUGAUUUCACUCAUGUGUGGAAUUUAAGAAACAUAACAAGCACAGAUCAAAAAUAAGAGAAAUCAGAAAGUAGAUGCUUAAUUAUAGAGAACUGAUGGUUACUAGAGGGGAGUAGGUGGGGGAUAGGUGAAAUAGGUGAUGGGGAUUCAGGAAUCCACUUGUCACGAUGAGCCCUGGGUGAGGUAUGGAAUUGUUGAAUCACUGUAUUGUGCACCCAAAACUAAUACAACACUGUAUGUUAACUAACUGGAAUUAAAAUAAAAAUCACUUAAAAAUGAUUUUAAGAUAACUUUUAAAAUUAGUUAAUUAAUUUUCAACAUUCAUGUGUAAUUAACAUACAGUGUUACAUUGGUUUCAGGUGUACGAUGUCAGGAUUCAGCAAUUCUGCACAUUACUCAGCCCUCCCGAAGAUGAGUGUACUCUUAAUCCCCUUCACCUGUUUUAUCCAUCUCCUCAUCUACCUCCCCUCUGGGGACCACUACUUUGUUCUCUAUAAUCAGGAGUCUGUUUUUCUGUUUGUCUCUUUUUGCCUUGUUCAUUUGUUUUCUUUCAAUAACUGUUGAGUGCUUUCUGGAUAGCAUGGUGCCAGGCACUCGCUUUGUUUUAGGCAUUGAGGCAGACGAUGCUGGUUACCUUCCAGUGUUCAUUUUGUCAUUCUUUACUAGUCAACACUGACCUUGCUUAGGUGGCAGUGUGUUCAGUCUAAGAAGAAGAAGAAGAAGAAUUCUACUAGCCUCUCGUGCAACUACAGCUUGUCGUGUGGCACAGUUCCAUCCAAUAAGACAAAUGAUGGUCAGAACUGUCUGAGAAGGUUUUGCGUUCCUGCCCUCUGCGCGGGUCCUUCUUCCUGCUUGUGUCAGGGCAGGAAUGCUGGAGUCAAGGCCGCCAUGCUUCAACUAUGAUUUCCCUAAGGCAAAGAGCCAACAACCACCAGCAGCCACCCUCUUCCAGACUGCUUAGGGCAUGAGAAAAAAAUCAGCCACAAGUUUUGCUGAUGCCACAGGUUAACCAGGUUUCCCAUUACUCAAGAAUGAUCAAAAUCCCUGGUUUGAGGAUAUAAACAUGAACAAAACAAUUCGUAGUCUUAAGGAGCUCCUAAAGGAGAGACAUUGGAAAUCAACACAGGAAACCCCAGAGGACAACAUGCUCCACAAGGGCCCACUGGUUGCAGGUGGAAGAAGUGAAUGAGGACUUAGAGGUAAGAGGAGAGCCCAAGGAAGGCUUCACAGAAGAGGAAAGUCUUGUGUUGUGUGUUUAAAGAAAAAGAAACGUUGGGAUGUUCCAGCAGUGGCUGGCAGCACCAUGCAGAACCAGCCCACUAGCUCCAACUCCUGGUUCUGCUGCUCACUCAGGCGCCUCGUUGCAUGUGAACUGCAGACAGGCACGCAAAUUUAUCUUUUUGAUUUCGUUCCCAGUGCCUGGCAUUUAGAAGAGGCUCAAAAUACACUUGCUGAAUUGAGACCUCUCUGAAGUCCCAUAGAACCAGGCACCUUCUACCAUAUUUUAUUUCAUGGUUAUGCUAAUAAUUUAUAGCCAUUUACCCCCUCUAGAAAGCAUAUGGCACAAGGGGGCAUCCAUUGGUAUCUGAGGUAGCUCGAAUGCCUAGAACCGUGCCUAGCACACAGUAGGUACUCAAUAAAUUCUUGUUGCAUGAAUGAGCACCAAGUUUUCUCAUCUAUAAAAUGUAGAUAACUAUAGCUAUCAAAAAGGAUUGAGUGGAUAAGAGAAAAAUGCAUUUCAAAUGUCUUGCCCUGAACUUCUCACAUGGGUAGCUGUAACGAUGCUUUUGUCUUCUGUAAAACUUGGAGACCCAUUCCUAACAUAGCCACAAGCAGCAACACCUGAGGUCAGCAGCCUAGUCUGUUCUUAGACCUGAGACUGGUUUGAGCAUUUCUCGGGGCCAGUGUGGCAGUUCCAGCAGGGAAGUGUUCGCCUGAAGUACUGGAAAGUCUGUCAGGAGAGAACUGGUCCCGGGAAAGAAUUUCUCUAGGGGGGGGAAAGUCAGUAUUCACGAACUUGAUUCAAAAAUCAGUGAGCCCUGAUGCUCAGACGGUCUUUAGGCCCAAUACCCAUAGAUUCUGCUUGAGGUUCAGGAAGGGUGACCCACAAAAUAAGAGGGCUGUUUUGUUAAAAUAUCCCAGACUAUGUGAGCCCUGGGUUCUGCUGCCUUAUUAGCAAACUGCAGCAGUUGCUGUCUGGACAGGAGAAGUGGGAGGAUGUGACACCAUGGGUGCCUUGGCCUUCUGAGGCUGAUCUGGCAGCAAGUGGCAGAGCAGUUGAAAUAAAUAUGUGAAUGAUAGCGGAACAGAACCUUGUUCCAAGCACAUGUGAUGCCAGGAAUAGCUAGGAAGAGAUGAAGUCACUGGAGUCUCUACAGAGAAGGUGGGGACAAAGAAACAUUGUAUUGUGACCCUGUAUUUCCCAAGAGAUUGGUUAUAGUCUCAAGAAAUGUUAAACAGGUGACAAUAGAGAUCGUGCCUUCUAGUUACCUAAUUACAUACAGUUCUCUCCACACUCUGGUUUGUUGCUUAAGAGAAAAAAAAAUCUGUUCUUUCUCUUAAAAAUUCUAGAAUAAACAGUUUUUUUUAAAGAG